RNAcentral lists this ribosomal RNA (407 nucleotides) under uncultured bacterium. Its description in RNAcentral is "partial 16S ribosomal RNA". It matches the Rfam family "Bacterial small subunit ribosomal RNA", at positions 28 to 526 of the family's 1533-position model. The record is from RNAcentral.
GACGAACGCUGGCGGCGUGCCUAAUACAUGCAAGUAGGACGCAGUUGCGAACGGGUGAGUAACGCGUAGGUAACUACCUAUUAGAGGGGGAUAACUAUUGGAAACGAUAGCUAAUACCGCAUACUAGUAGAUGGACCUGCGUUGUAUUAGCUAGUAGGUAGGGUAAUGGCCUACCUAGGCAACGAUACAUAGCCGACCUGGGAAGUGGAGCGGCCAACCUGGGAAUGGGACACGGCCCAAACGCCUACGGGAGGGAGCAGUAGGGAAUGUUCGGCAAGUGGGGGAAACCUGACCGAGCAAAGCCGGGGGGGUGGAGAAGGUUUUCGGAUCGGAAAGCUCUGUUGUUAAGGAAGCGGUACUUAACCAGAAAGGGACGGCUAACUACGUGCCAGCAGCCGCGGUAAUUC